UUAGUCUACUACGUGUUCUUCCCAAUAAGCUAUCUUUAUUUCUGCCAUAACCACAUGUGUGAUUAGCAUUUCAUGCUUUUCAGGCAUUUCUUCAGUGCUUUCUAAAAAUUGACUGUAGCUGAGGUGUUCUCUAUUGACUGGAAUGCUAUUUCUUUUUUACAAGUCUGAGACAUUUCUACAGAUUUAUGUUAAGUUUUUUAAAGCUCUGCACAGCUCUCACUAUCAUCUCUAGCAACCCAAAAGUUUCCCAACAGUAUUUUAUUACAUCUGUUAAAAUUAGGCCUGUGUAACUUUAAUUUAUACUCCCAGCCAUAGUAAAACCUGCUUUAUGAGCACUAGAAUUAUAAAUGCUUUCACUUCUUAAUCACACUAGUCUCAAAUAGAAAAAUAACAUAUUUUGAUCCAUGAAGAUCUGCAUAAAAUGUGGGCUUGCCCACUGUUUGCUUUACAAAGCAAGAGUAUCUUAGCUAUUCUUCCACUAAACUUUCCAGAGGCAAAGAAAAUUUUGCUGGUACACUCAGUAAGUACUGAUAUGACUUUAAACAUAUUUGCAUUAACUACUGUGCCUGAAAAUGGUGUAGUAGUCGUUGAAUGUUGUUUAAUGCAAGUGGCUGAGGAUACACUGAUGAAACUUUCAUUUUUAAUCACUUAAGGACCAGCAGAAGAAUGAGCGUGGUGCUCUGCAUCAUGCUGCCAGUGGUCACAUCAUGAGUCCACAUGUUCACAACACAGAUGCAUCUGCUGUAGUUGUUUCAUAGGCUCAUCUGACACUCGUACUGCUGAAGUCAGGAGAAAGACUGCAAAGCACGAAAGCUCAUGUACAUGUUAGAAAGUAGUGUUCAGCGAUGGAAUUAAACAUGAAUGCACACCCCACCCCACCCCCCCCUUAACUUGGGUUGUUAUCACUUAGGAGAAAGAAAAAUAUACUAGAUUAGAAUAGAAUAAUUUCAAUUGGAAGGGACUUACAAUGAUCAUCUAGUCCAACCACUUCAGGGCUGACCCAGAUUUAAAGGAUGUUGUUAAGGGAUUGUCCAAAUGUCUCUUCAAUAUUGGCAGGCAUGGGGCAUCAACCACCUCUCAAGAAAGCCUGUUGCAGAGUUUGGCCUCCCUGUUGGUAAAGAAAUACUUUCUCAUGUCUGAUCUAAAAAAGCAAUCAUAUUUACUAACUACUCUACAGUCUUUGUGUUCUCACAGGCAGGCAGGUGACUGGCAAUGAAGAUGCCAGCUGAAUGCUCAAAUCCAUUUGUCUUGAUGCAGUAUAUGCUAAGCAAAGAGGUCAGACUCCAGUGCAGCUUAAAAAACAAACCAAAGCAAACGCUCAAAAAAUAUUUUUCUGCUCUUCUUUGAACCCCUAAUCAACCACCCAAGAGAAGGGCUGUGGCUAUGCCAGCGUCCCGUGCUAAAAUCACAAUAAAGCUUUACAAGGACAAGUGGCUGAUAUGCUGCAAGAUAUAUGGGGUUGGUUGUUUGUUUGCUUGCAUGUUUGUUUUACAGUAGGUCACCCUCAGCUUCUUAAUCUGCAGCAUUUCACUGAUUCCAGACAGUGAUCAUCAGAAAAAAAAAAGUCCUGGGAGAUUUAAUUCUGUUUUUAACCAUCAGAAUUUAGACAAGUCGAGGUGGGAAGGGACCUCUGCAUAUCAUCUGGCCCUGCAUUCUCACUUGCAGAUGUGCAUAUGAACUGAUUUUGGCAGAAGUCCAGCUGUGGAGAGGAUCCCUGUUACAGUGAAGCAGGAAUUUGAAUAAAGGAAAAUGUGCUUUGUUAUACAGGAGAAGAGGAGAUCCAGAGCCCUGAGCUGUCCUUGCUACUUUCUUGCUUCCAGGUGUUGUGCAGGAACAUGGGCAGAUCCCUCCAUCCGUGACUAAAAGACAUCUUUGCAGGACACAGCAUUCUCAAUACCUCAGGAUCUGCAGUGCUGCCUUUUUUGUAACACGCUGUAUGCCAUUAUAACUUCUGAUAAUAAGAGGCUCAGAAUUUACCUACUGACACAUAAAAUUGUAGGCAUUUUAUACAAUCUAGAUGAAACUUUAAAUACCACUGAGUAUUCUUAUUUGCUGUUGAAACAGAGGCUUUGUUGAGCUCUGAGUGGGAUUUCUUUCUAACAGGUCUCAGCAAGACAAUAAGGCAGUGCACUUUCCCCCUCCAAACCGAGUUAAAACAGCAAGAAAUCACUGACUCAGGUUUAGUGCUUCUGGUCCUUUCCUACAGGUUCAGCAAGGACUAUAAAUACAUUUACAAGGUGCAUGCUAUAGAAACAGUAGGCAAAAAUGUUUAUUUAAAGUAUUUCUUUAUUAGGGGUACAAGCUCUGAAUACCUCAGAAUACCUGGCUCUAUCUUGGCUUUUCAAAAUACGUGUUGAACACGCACAACUACUAGAAAAAGCAAUGUUGAAUUCAGGCGUAGCUUAACAGAAAGGCUGUUAAGACAGGGACUGAGGCACAGCCACUUCUGACUUUCAACUUUGUUUUUACUUCAAAUUUUGCCUUCAAAACCCAGAUAACCCAGGCAGCAGAACACGUGAACAUUCCUGUGAGGUCUGAGUGCUGUACAAACACGUACUCUGUCACAAGCCAUGACCACAGUGUUUUGUCCCGCCUCAGGGAAGAGCAGAUUGCCAGCCAGCAGUGCAAUCUCAGAGAUAAAUACUGCUAAUUCUAUUCUGUAGGUUUCAGUGGUGAAACCUAUAGCAAUGAAAUUUUCUAUUUAGCAACAAAAGCCUCUUGGAAAUCACCAAGAUGUGUCAUUAGCCAGUGUGGCUUGCCCUCCAGGGAAGCCCCAGCACAGGGAGAGAUUUGGCAUAUGCUUCUCUACACACAAGGAGCAACAAGGUGACAAUACAGAGCUGGACCUAGGGUCUAGGACAUGCUUACUGACAUGGUGCUGUCCUCACUGUCAAAAGCACUUCACACCCACCUUUGUAACUAGGCCUGUGCUAAUCAUCUGAAUCCAUUUAGUAGGUUGUUCAGUACCUAAUUUCUGAAGGCAGUUUAGGCAAAAUCCUCCUAUUGAAACUCGUAAGAGUGGGGGAAAGAUUGGCUUGAAAGAAUUGUAUUGAUUGUGACAUGACAAUCAGCAACAGAAGUACAGUAAACAGAUGCUAAGGUCUUCAAGAUUAGGUCACUGAGGUCUGUAUAUCCACCAAAACAUACCAAAUAUUUCCAUUUCAUUAGGCGUUUAGUAUUUUUAACAUCUUGUCAGAUUAGCUCCUGAGCUGAUACCCAGCCUAAUGAUAUGAAAUUAAACUUUAUAUAUUUAGAAAAGUAUAUUUUUCACUUAUAUGACUACAAGCCACUUUGCAGUCUCCUUAGGGGAAACCUAUGAGGAUUAAGAAAAUUAAGUUAUUAGAGCAGCCAAAACCUAGACAUUUUCAAAAUAAUAUGAGGUGUGUUUCAUAGAUCCACAGGGUGGAGAACAUUAAUCUUUUGCUGCCAUUCCUUUAAAAAGGAUCAGCCUUCCCUGCGAGCCCCAAACACUUCACAUAGCUGUUACAUUCCCUAGCCAGACUCCGAACUUGCACAUGUGGUGGUGUGGAUACUCCUCCCUGUUCUCCAGGGCUCACAGACCUUGGAUCAAGGUCCUUAACCUCUCUGUAUUAUGUCCAACAUCCCAUUAUAAUAAAACACCAUUGUAAAGAA
This is a long non-coding RNA of Pezoporus flaviventris, 3633 nucleotides long. RefSeq lists it as uncharacterized. Lineage: Eukaryota; Metazoa; Chordata; Aves; Psittaciformes; Psittacidae. The record is from RefSeq and is a predicted model, not a curated record. The transcript is spliced from 3 exons.